Molecule: unclassified non-coding RNA, 354 nt
Filed under: Hevea brasiliensis (rubber tree)
Lineage: Eukaryota; Viridiplantae; Streptophyta; Magnoliopsida; Malpighiales; Euphorbiaceae
Source: RNAcentral
GUCAGAAGUUGGAAGAGGACAAGGUUACUUCUAUCAUUUUGCUUUGUUUGCACCACUGAGUAUUAAAAUAGUAGUUCUAUAAUUUGAUGAAAUUGGGCAAGUUUUGCUUGUUCUUUUUUAAUUAACUUAAUACUUCUUGAGAAAGAAAAGCAUUUAAACUUCUCUAGAUGCUAAAAACCAAGAUCUUGCCAGAUCUCAAUUUGAAGAUACCAAAAAAUUGUAUUAAUCCUUCUAUCGCUGUCCAACAUACUGCAUCACAGUUGUUGUUUACUUUAUAUUUGGAGUGGUCCAUUUUUUGUAGUUGAUCCCUGAUUUUAGUUGGAUGUUUCACAGGCAGAAAGAAGAAGGAGGCUU